UACAGAGACUGCAAGCGUUAUUCGGAUUCACUGGGCGUAAAGGGUGCGCAGGCGGUUGGGUGUGUCAGAUGUGAAAUCCCGAGGCUUAACCUCGGAACUGCGUCUGAAACUACUCGACUAGAGUACUGGAGAGGGGAAACGGAAUUCGACGGUGAGCAGUGAAAUGCGUAGAUAUCGAUGAGGAACACCAGAGGCGAAGGCGGUUUCCUGGACAGUUACUGACGCUCAGGCACGAAAGCAUGGGGAGCAAAAGGG
RNAcentral lists this ribosomal RNA (255 nucleotides) under uncultured bacterium. RNAcentral's name for it is "partial 16S ribosomal RNA". It matches the Rfam family "Bacterial small subunit ribosomal RNA", at positions 524 to 776 of the family's 1533-position model. The record is from RNAcentral.